Nannospalax galili (Upper Galilee mountains blind mole rat) is the source of this 404-nucleotide long non-coding RNA. RefSeq lists it as uncharacterized. The record is from RefSeq and is a predicted model, not a curated record. Lineage: Eukaryota; Metazoa; Chordata; Mammalia; Rodentia; Spalacidae. The transcript has 4 exons.
CUCAUCUCUGUUGUGGGUCACAGAAGCAUGCGCCUCUCAAACCAGCCAUGAAACCUUCUCUGUGGCAGUCCCUUACUCCAGAGGCAUCACACAGAGAGGCCCGGCAGAAUCUGCGUCUCACUGGCUCCCUUCCACCCAUUGACAUCUGGUCACAUCCUAUGUGCCCAUCACAUUUUCGUUAAUUCCGGACACCAAGGACUGGAGCCUCACCUCUCAGCAGGAAAUGACUUUCCCUAAGAGGUGGAACUGAAAAUAAGCAAUGUGGGCAUGAUGUCAUCCUGAUUGAACUGUGAAAACUGAUCAACUGAAAUUUUCCUCACUAAAUGAAAAGUUCAAGACCUUCCUCUUCUACAGGAUGUUCCUUCUAAGACAGGCGGUCAUGGAUGAAGCCAUCUGAAACCGUG